UACGAAGGGGGCUAGCGUUGCUCGGAAUCACUGGGCGUAAAGGGUGCGUAGGCGGGUCUUUAAGUCAGGGGUGAAAUCCUGGAGCUCAACUCCAGAACUGCCUUUGAUACUGAAGAUCUUGAGUUCGGGAGAGGUGAGUGGAACUGCGAGUGUAGAGGUGAAAUUCGUAGAUAUUCGCAAGAAUACCAGUGGCGAAGGCGGCUCACUGGCCCGGUACUGACGCUCAUGUGCGAAAGCGUGGGGAGCAAACAGG
Molecule: ribosomal RNA, 253 nt
Filed under: uncultured bacterium
Lineage: Bacteria
Description: partial 16S ribosomal RNA
Rfam family: Bacterial small subunit ribosomal RNA
Source: RNAcentral